RNAcentral lists this ribosomal RNA (233 nucleotides) under uncultured bacterium. RNAcentral describes it as "partial 16S ribosomal RNA". It matches the Rfam family "Bacterial small subunit ribosomal RNA", at positions 100 to 334 of the family's 1533-position model. The record is from RNAcentral.
CGGGACGGGUGAGUAAUGUCUGGGAAACUGCCUGAUGGAGGGGGGUAACUACUGGAAACGGUAGCUAAUACCGCAUAACGUCGCAAGACCAAAGAGGGGGACCUUCGGGCCUCUUGCCAUCGGAUGUGCCCAGAUGGGAUUAGCUAGUAGGUGGGGUAACGGCUCACCUAGGCGACGAUCCCUGGCUGGUCUGAGAGGAUGACCAGCCACACUGGAACUGAGACACGGUCCAG